Non-coding RNA from Pelobates cultripes (western spadefoot toad), 236 nucleotides. Lineage: Eukaryota; Metazoa; Chordata; Amphibia; Anura; Pelobatidae. The record is from the annotation of a GenBank genome assembly.
CUAGUCACAGAUUGUGAGAGUGCCAGUCUCUGUGUGAGAGUAUCAUACUGUGAGAGUGCCAGUCUCAGUGUUAUAGUCACAGACUGUGAGAGUGCCAGUCUCAAUGUUAUAGUCACAGACUGUGAGAGUGCCAGUCUCAGUGUGGGCAAACUGUCAGAGUGUCAGUCUCAGUGUGGACAGACAGAGUGUGGCAGUCUGAGUGUGGGCAGACUGUGAGACUGCCAGUCUGAGUGUGA